This 253-nucleotide ribosomal RNA is filed under the name uncultured bacterium. RNAcentral describes it as "partial 16S ribosomal RNA". It matches the Rfam family "Bacterial small subunit ribosomal RNA", at positions 524 to 776 of the family's 1533-position model. The record is from RNAcentral.
UACGUAGGGGGCAAGCGUUGUCCGGAAUCAUUGGGCGUAAAGAGCGUGUAGGCGGUCCGGUAAGUCGGCUGUGAAAGUCCAGGGCUCAACCCUGGGAUGCCGGUCGAUACUGCCGGACUAGAGUUCGGAAGAGGCGAGUGGAAUUCCCGGUGUAGCGGUGAAAUGCGCAGAUAUCAGGAGGAACACCUAUUGCGAAGGCAGCUCGCUGGGACGUAACUGACGCUGAGACGCGAAAGCGUGGGGAGCAAACAGG